Molecule: ribosomal RNA, 468 nt
Filed under: uncultured bacterium
Lineage: Bacteria
Description: partial 16S ribosomal RNA
Rfam family: Bacterial small subunit ribosomal RNA
Source: RNAcentral
GACGAACGCUGGCGGCGUGCUUAACACAUGCAAGUCGAACGGAAAGGCCCUGCUUUUGUGGGGUGCUCGAGUGGCGAACGGGUGAGUAACACGUGAGUAACCUGCCCUUGACUUUGGGAUAACUUCAGGAAACUGGGGCUAAUACCGGAUAGGAGCUCCUGCUGCAUGGUGGGGGUUGGAAAGUUUCGGCGGUUGGGGAUGGACUCGCGGCUUAUCAGCUUGUUGGUGGGGUAGUGGCUUACCAAGGCUUUGACGGGUAGCCGGCCUGAGAGGGUGACCGGCCACAUUGGGACUGAGAUACGGCCCAGACUCCUACGGGAGGCAGCAGUGGGGAAUAUUGCACAAUGGGCGGAAGCCUGAUGCAGCAACGCCGCGUGCGGGAUGACGGCCUUCGGGUUGUAAACCGCUGUCGACGGUGACGAAGCGUGAGUGACGGUAAUGGGUAAAGAAGCACCGGCUAACUACGUG